CAGAGGGGGCAAGCGUUGUUCGGAAUUACUGGGCGUAAAGGGCGCGUAGGCGGCCUGCUAAGUCGAACGUGAAAUCCCUGGGCUCAACCCAGGAACUGCGUCCGAUACUGGUUGGCUUGAAUCCGGGAGAGGGAUGCGGAAUUCCAGGUGUAGCGGUGAAAUGCGUAGAUAUCUGGAGGAACACCGGUGGCGAAGGCGGCAUCCUGGACCGGCAUUGACGCUGAGGCGCGAAAGCCAGGGGAGCAAACGGGAUUAGAUACCCCGGUAGUCCUGGCCCUAAACGAUGAAUGCUUGGUGUGGCGGGUAUCGAUCCCUGCCGUGCCGAAGCUAACGCAUUAAGCAUUCCGCCUGGGGAUACGGUCGCAAGGCUG
Molecule: ribosomal RNA, 371 nt
Filed under: uncultured organism
Description: bacterial SSU rRNA
Rfam family: Bacterial small subunit ribosomal RNA
Source: RNAcentral